CUGGUUGAUCCUGCCAGUAGUCAUAUGCUUGUCUCAAAGAUUAAGCCAUGCAUGUCUAAGUAUAAGCGACUAUACUGUGAAACUGCGAAUGGCUCAUUAAAUCAGUUAUGGUUUAUUUGAUGGUACCUACUACUUGGAUAACCGUAGUAAUUCCAGAGCUAAUACAUGCAGGAAGACCCGACUCACGAAGGGUUGUAUUUAUUAGAUAAGAAACCUUCCCCUUUGGGUUGCGUGCCGAGUCACAAUAACUGCUCGAAUCGCAUGGCUUCACGCCGGCGAUGGUUCAUUCAAAUUUCUGCCCUAUCAGCUUUCGAUGGUAGGAUCGAGGCCUACCAUGGCGUUUACGGGUAACGGAGAAUUAGGGUUCGAUUCCGGAGAGGGAGCCUGAGAGAUGGCUACCACAUCCAAGGAAGGCAGCAGGCGCGUAAAUUGCCCGAAUCCUGACACAGGGAGGUAGUGACAAGAAAUAACAAUACAGGGCUACAUCUAGUCUUGUAAUUGGAAUGAGUACAAUUUACAUCUCUUCACGAGGAUCAAUUGGAGGGCAAGUCUGGUGCCAGCAGCCGCGGUAAUUCCAGCUCCAAUAGCGUAUAUUAAAGUUGUUGCAGUUAGAACGCUCGUAGUCGGAUUUCGGGGCGGGGCGACCGGUCUGCCGAUGGGUACGCACUGGUCGACGCGUCCUUCCUUCCGGAGACCGUUUCUGUUCUUAACUGAAUGGGAGCGGGAGACGGAUCGUUUACUUUGAAAAAAUCAGAGUGUUUCAAGCAGGCAGCUCGCUCUUGCAUGGAUUAGCGUGGGAUAAUGAAAUAGGACUUUGGUGCUAUUUGUGUUGGUUUCGAACACCGAAGUAAUGAUUAAUAGGGACAGUCAGGGGCACUCGUAUUCCGCCGAGAGAGGUGAAAUUCUCAGACCAGCGGAAGACGAACCACUGCGAAAGCAUUUGCCAGGGAUGUUUUCACUGAUCAAGAACGAAAGUUAGGGGAUCGAAGAGGAUCAGAUACCCUCGUAGUCUUAACCAUAAACCAUGCCGACUAGGGAUUGGGGGAUGUUCACAAUUGACUCCCUCAGCACCUUACGGGAAACUAAAGUCUUUGGGUUCCGGGGGGAGUAUGGUCGCAAGGCUGAAACUUAAAGGAAUUGACGGAAGGGCACCACCAGGUGUGGAGCCUGCGGCUUAAUUUGACUCAACACGGGGAAACUUACCAGGUCCAGACAUUGUGAGGAUUGACAGAUUGAGAGCUCUUUCUUGAUUCGAUGGGUGGUGGUGCAUGGCCGUUCUUAGUUGGUGGAGUGAUUUGUCUGGUUAAUUCCGUUACGAACGAGACCUUAGCCUGCUAAUAGUGACGCGAACACUCGUUGGCGUCCGCUUCUAGAGGGACAACACGUCUUCACGUGUGGAGUUUGAGGCAUAACAGGUCUGUGAUG
This 1425-nucleotide ribosomal RNA is filed under the name eukaryotic picoplankton environmental sample. RNAcentral's name for it is "SSU rRNA". It matches the Rfam family "Eukaryotic small subunit ribosomal RNA", at positions 4 to 1469 of the family's 1831-position model. The record is from RNAcentral.